This 93-nucleotide transfer RNA is filed under the name Caudoviricetes sp. Its description in RNAcentral is "tRNA-Ser". Lineage: Duplodnaviria; Heunggongvirae; Uroviricota; Caudoviricetes. The record is from RNAcentral.
GUGGCUAUACUCAAGUCUGGUUGAAGAGAACGGUCCUGAAAACCGUCAGGUCGGAUAGUAUCCGGCGCGAGGUUUCAAAUACCUCUAGCCACG